AGUAGUUUGAUCAUGGCUCAGGAUGAACGCUGGCGGCGUGCCUAACACAUGCAAGUCGAGCGAGAAACCAUCGAUUGAAACUUCGGUAGAUAUUGAAGGCGGAAAGCGGCGGACGGGUGAGUAACGCGUAGGCAACCUGCCCUUUGCAGAGGGAUAGCAACGGGAAACUGUUAUUAAAACCUCAUAAUACCGUAAUGUCAAAUGAUGAAACGGUCAAAGAUUUAUCGGCAAAGGAUGGGCCUGCGUCUGAUUAGUUAGUUGGUAGGGUAACGGCCUACCAAGGCAGCGAUCAGUAGCCGACCUGAGAGGGUGAUCGGCCACAUUGGAACUGAGACACGGUCCAAACUCCUACGGGAGGCAGCAGUGGGGAAUAUUGCACAAUGGGCGAAAGCCUGAUGCAGCAACGCCGCGUGAAGGAUGAAGGCCUUUGGGUCGUAAACUUCUGUCCUUGGGGAAGAAAAAAUGACGGUACCCCUGGAGGAAGUCCCGGCUAACUACGUG
Molecule: ribosomal RNA, 501 nt
Filed under: uncultured bacterium
Lineage: Bacteria
Description: bacterial SSU rRNA
Rfam family: Bacterial small subunit ribosomal RNA
Source: RNAcentral